GACGAACGCUGGCGGCGUGCUUAACACAUGCAAGUCGAACGGAAAGGCCCUGCUUUUGUGGGGUGCUCGAGUGGCGAACGGGUGAGUAACACGUGAGUAACCUGCCCUUGACUUUGGGAUGACUUCAGGAAACUGGGGCUAAUACCGGAUAGGAGCUCCUGCCGCAUGGUGGGGGUUGGAAAGUUUCGGCGGUUGGGGAUGGACUCGCGGCUUAUCAGCUUGUUGGUGGGGUAGUGGCUUACCAAGGCUUUGACGGGUAGCCGGCCUGAGAGGGUGACCGGCCACAUUGGGACUGAGAUACGGCCCAGACUCCUACGGGAGGCAGCAGUGGGGAAUAUUGCACAAUGGGCGGAAGCCUGAUGCAGCAACGCCGCGUGCGGGAUGACGGCCUUCGGGUUGUAAACCGCUUUCGCCUGUGACGAAGCGUGAGUGACGGUAAUGGGUAAAGAAGCACCGGCUAACUACGUG
This 468-nucleotide ribosomal RNA is filed under the name uncultured bacterium. Its description in RNAcentral is "partial 16S ribosomal RNA". It matches the Rfam family "Bacterial small subunit ribosomal RNA", at positions 28 to 507 of the family's 1533-position model. The record is from RNAcentral.